Molecule: ribosomal RNA, 86 nt
Filed under: Bacteroides thetaiotaomicron
Lineage: Bacteria; Pseudomonadati; Bacteroidota; Bacteroidia; Bacteroidales; Bacteroidaceae
Also listed under: 1 other name
Description: partial 16S ribosomal RNA
Rfam family: Bacterial small subunit ribosomal RNA
Source: RNAcentral
ACAAUGAAGAGUUUGAUCCUGGCUCAGGAUGAACGCUAGCUACAGGCUUAACACAUGCAAGUCGAGGGGCAGCAUUUCAGUUUGCU